UACAGAGGGCUCAAGCGUUGUUCGGAAUCACUGGGCGUAAAGGGUGCGUAGGCCGCACGGUAAGUCAGAGGUGAAAUCCCGGAGCUCAACUCCGGAAUGGCCUCCGAUACUGCCGUGCUCGAGGACUGGAGAGGAGUCUGGAAUUCACAGUGGAGCAGUGAAAUGCGUGGAUAUUGUGAGGAACACUAGUGGCGAAGGCGAGACUCUGGACAGUUCCUGACGCUGAGGCACGAAGGCCAGGGGAGCAAACGGG
RNAcentral lists this ribosomal RNA (253 nucleotides) under uncultured bacterium. Its description in RNAcentral is "partial 16S ribosomal RNA". It matches the Rfam family "Bacterial small subunit ribosomal RNA", at positions 524 to 776 of the family's 1533-position model. The record is from RNAcentral.